AGAGUUUGAUCCUGGCUCAGAUUGAACGCUGGCGGCAUGCCUUACACAUGCAAGUCGAACGGCAGCACGGGAGCAAUCCUGGUGGCGAGUGGCGAACGGGUGAGUAAAGUAUCGGAACGUGCCCAGUCGUGGGGGAUAACGUAGCGAAAGCUACGCUAAUACCGCAUACGAUCUAUGGAUGAAAGCGGGGGAUCGCAAGACCUCGCGCGAUUGGAGCGGCCGAUAUCAGAUUAGGUAGUUGGCGGGGUAACGGCCCACCAAGGCUUCGAUCAGUAGCCGGCCUGAGAGGGUGAUCGGCCACACUGGAACUGAGACACGGUCCAGACUCCUACGGGAGGCAGCAGUGGGGAAUUUUGCGCAAUGGACGAAAGUCUGACGCAGCAACGCCGCGUGGGUGAUGAAGGUCUUCGGAUUGUAAAACCCUGUCGUCGAGGACGAAGGUCGGAGCGUUAAUAGCGCUUUGGCUUGACGGUACUCGGAGAGGAAGCCCCGGCUAACUCUGUGCCAGCAGCCGCGGUAAUACAGAGGGGGCAAGCGUUAUUCGGAAUUAUUGGGCGUAAAGGGCGCGUAGGCGGUUUUUUAAGUCGGAUGUGCAAUCCCCGAGCUCAACUUGGGAACUGCAUCUGAGACUGGAAGGCUAGAGUACUGGAGAGGGUGGUAGAAUUCCACGUGUAGCGGUGAAAUGCGUAGAGAUGUGGAGGAAUACCAGUGGCGAAGGCGGCCACCUGGACAGUAACUGACGCUGAGGCGCGAAAGUGUGGGUAGCAAACAGGAUUAGAUACCCUGGUAGUCC
This 793-nucleotide ribosomal RNA is filed under the name uncultured bacterium. RNAcentral's name for it is "bacterial SSU rRNA". It matches the Rfam family "Bacterial small subunit ribosomal RNA", at positions 8 to 796 of the family's 1533-position model. The record is from RNAcentral.